Molecule: ribosomal RNA, 449 nt
Filed under: uncultured bacterium
Lineage: Bacteria
Description: partial 16S ribosomal RNA
Rfam family: Bacterial small subunit ribosomal RNA
Source: RNAcentral
AACGAACGCUGGCGGCAUGCCUAACACAUGCCAGUCGAACGAGAUCUUCGGGUCUAGUGGCGCACGGGUGCGUAACGCGUGGGAAUCUGCCCUUUGGUUCGGAAUAACAGUUGGAAACGACUGCUAAUACCGGAUGAUGACGAAAGUCCAAAGAUUUAUCGCCAGAGGAUGAGCCCGCGUAGGAUUAGCUAGUUGGUGUGGUAAAGGCGCACCAAGGCGACGAUCCUUAGCUGGUCUGAGAGGAUGAUCAGCCACACUGGGACUGAGACACGGCCCAGACUCCUACGGGAGGCAGCAGUGGGGAAGAUUGGACAAUGGGCGAAAGCCUGAUCCAGCAAUGCCUCGUGAGUGAUGAAGGCCUUAGGGUUGUAAAGCUCUUUUACCCUGGAUGAUAAUGACAGUACCGGGAGAAUAAGCUCCGGCUAACUCCGUGCCAGCCGCCGCCGUAA